Molecule: ribosomal RNA, 119 nt
Filed under: Pteropus alecto (black flying fox)
Lineage: Eukaryota; Metazoa; Chordata; Mammalia; Chiroptera; Pteropodidae
Source: RNAcentral
GUCUAUGGCCAUGCUACCCUGAACAUGCCCCAUCUCGUCUGAUCUCGGGAGUUAAGCAGGGUCGGGCCUGGUUAGUUCUUGGGUGGGAGACUACCUAGGAAUACUGGGUACUGUAGGCU